Molecule: transfer RNA, 74 nt
Filed under: Kribbellaceae bacterium
Lineage: Bacteria; Bacillati; Actinomycetota; Actinomycetes; Propionibacteriales; Kribbellaceae
Description: tRNA-Leu
Rfam family: tRNA
About the family: Transfer RNA (tRNA) molecules are approximately 80 nucleotides in length. Their secondary structure includes four short double-helical elements and three loops (D, anti-codon, and T loops).
Source: RNAcentral
GCCCCGAUAUCCCAAUUGGCAGAGGACGAUGGCUCAAACCCGUCGUGUUGUGGGUUCGAAUCCCACUCGGGGCA